GCAUCGGUUGUGCAAAGGUCAGCAUGGUAGCCUUCCAAGCAGCCGAUCCGGGUUCGAUUCCCGGCCGACGCA
This 72-nucleotide transfer RNA is filed under the name Dreissena polymorpha. It matches the Rfam family "tRNA". From Rfam's summary of the family: Transfer RNA (tRNA) molecules are approximately 80 nucleotides in length. Their secondary structure includes four short double-helical elements and three loops (D, anti-codon, and T loops). The record is from Rfam by way of RNAcentral. Lineage: Eukaryota; Metazoa; Mollusca; Bivalvia; Myida; Dreissenidae.